This 608-nucleotide long non-coding RNA is filed under the name Anser cygnoides (Swan goose). RNAcentral describes it as "lncRNA (ENSACDG00005018499.1)". The record is from RNAcentral. Lineage: Eukaryota; Metazoa; Chordata; Aves; Anseriformes; Anatidae.
AUGGCAAUAAAUCUUUUCUUUCUGUCUGAGACUCUGAGCCCAGUCUCCGAGGACUCAGCUGCUCAGCCUGCUGCGGCUGUAGCUUGUCUGAGACAUUUUGGGGAAACACUGCCAAUUCAGUGCCAUUUAUCUCCCUCCUUUCUGGGAGCUGUAGAAGGUGUUGCUUAUUACUUCACAGUAUAUGUCAGUUGGAGUGACAGCCUCAUAAGACCAGGAGGAUACCUCUUGUGUAUCACCUCUGUUUGUGACCAUUGUUUCUCAUUGUGGGAUAUACAGCUUCAUUUCUGUGAAGAUUCAAUCUCACAUACCACAGAGGACACAGACCUUGGUCCCCUUGGAGCACCAGCAGGACAAGACUUUUGUAUGGUUCUUGCUACCCACCAAGUCUAGACUGAAUUAUUAAGACGUGUUGUUUGCAAAUAUAACCACGGGAAUUAAGUUAAAGGUUGCUUUGAAGGUCCUGCUUUCAAGCUGAAGUCAAUAGGUUUGAGUUUUCUAAGACCUAUUAUAUAAAACUGUUAUCACCUUUAACUGAUAUGUCCUUGUUAUCAAAUGUUGACGGUUUUACAGAAAAAAAACCUUUACCUUUUAGCUGUGGAGCUUAGAAU